Patiria miniata (bat star) is the source of this 473-nucleotide long non-coding RNA. RefSeq lists it as uncharacterized. The record is from RefSeq and is a predicted model, not a curated record. The transcript is spliced from 3 exons. NCBI's taxonomy places the organism in Eukaryota, Metazoa, Echinodermata, Asteroidea, Valvatida, Asterinidae.
AUUUAUUGCACACACCAACGUAACUUGAAAUAUGAUUCCUGUUCUCAAAGAAAAUAUUACCAUGGCGCAUGCGCGUCAGCAGAAAUUCCACGUCCAGACCGCGUGAUAGCUUAUUUGAAUCGCUCUGCUCAGUCGAGUCAGCGAUCUAGCAGCAGCAGCUCACUAGUAUAACGGUCGCCGACUCGCCGUCCAGUUGAUGUGAAUUAGCCAUGGUCACCAAGCAAGUUAUUUUCACUACAGCAUUUCUUAGAAGGUAGGCAGUACACAGGUUUGCUAUACGUGAGUGCACUGGCUGCUGGAUGUGGCAUGUUUUAACUUUUAACUUCAGCAGUCUUCGAGGGAAGAAGUUUCUAAUUAUUUUGAAGACCAACCCAUACAUCUCUUCAAGGUUGUUGCUGGGCCUGCAUGACAACUCGUCGAGUAGCAGAGGCCAAGGCGAGGGGAGGACAUAGCUUCAUUCUGGAAGUUUGCCC